CAAGAUCAGUACAAAUGACGUUUUGUAUUGAAUUGGUGAUCGAGUUUCGCUGAGACGCGCUACUAGGUCACUUUUCCGCCAUCUUAAGUGCUUUGGAGGCUCGAGAACGGCAACUUAUACGCGACUCAGUUAGGUCAAUUCGUCGUAAGCAGCUUGGUCCUUUCAUCAGGACAGAGAAUCUUCAAGGCAAGAAGCUUCUGAAUACAAGCAUAUAACAGAUACAGCCAUUAAUUUCAUCGCUGGACUGAAGAGCGUCGGCGAAGAGUAGGGAAUAAUCCGUCCCAAAAACUCUCUAAAUCACUUGAGAAAACACAGGAGACCAAAGGCAAAAAAAAUUAUGGCAAGAAGUGGAGUGAAAAUGCCACAAGCGUAUAAAGACAUAUUGACGAAAGUGAGGGAUCCACUGGUAAGCGACUUGGAACCGCAAAUGGUGUUGGUGAAGAUGGCGGCUUCUUUUGUGUUUAACGCCAAGGACGAAGAGGAUAUAAAAGGAGAAAAAACACGUUGGGCUAAAAGUGAAAUGUUGUUAGAAAGAUUAAAUACAAAGUCUUCUGAUGCAUACGACUACUUCAAAGAAGCACUUCGUGAAGUUCAGCCUCAUCUUGAAAAUUUGAUUGUCAGGGCUGAAACUAAUUCUUUGGCGUUUCAAAGAGCAAAAGCCGGACUAGGAAGUAGGACAGGAGUGCAAGAAGCAGUAGUUCAAUUUGAAAGAUUUCAGAUAAGUUCUGAAGCAACAGACAGAUCAGUAAACAGGGAAGCAACACAACAACCAUCAGAACAAAUUGAUGAGACAUUUCAAGCGACAACCCAACCAGCAAGUGGGUUUCAAGACGUUCAGUCAAGUUACUCUUUCUCCAGCCGGCCUGACAAUGUGAUAAUAAGAGAACAAAGUGAUCAGACAUCUCAGGUGGCAACCCAACCAGCAAGUGGGUUUCAAGACGCUCAGUCAAGUUACUCUUCCUCCAGCCGGCCUGACAAUGUGACAAUAAGAGAAAAUGAGGAUUCAACAUCUCAAGCCAGAGCCCAACCAGCAAGGGAGACAAGAGUACGGGAACUAGCUUUUCAAACAGCAACGGCCCAACCAUCCAGUGGGGCAAGAGGGCAACCACUAAGAUAUAACUCAGGGAAUUCCAGGUUGUGUGAUCGACAAGUGGAAAAAAUCUGUAAAGAAGUGGCAUCGUGCUGGCAGGAUCUGGGCAGAAAACUAGGGCUUUUAUCAGCACCGCUCAAGAUAAUAGAUAAAGGGUUCAACCUCGCUCACGAAAAGGCCAGGGGAAUGCUACAAGAAUGGAGGAGAAAGGAAGAUGAAAAUGCCACUUUGAGAGCUCUUUAUGAUGCUCUGAAUGAUCUAGGACGACAAGACAUUGUAACAAAUAUAAAAAAAAAACUAGUAAUUAAGAGUGCAACAUGUCGGGCAAGAGCUCAUCCAGCAAGGAACUAGCUUCUCAAACAGAAACCAGGAUAAGCUCCAGCAUAAAGGGCCACAACCUAAGUACAGACCACUUAUUAUGCAUCUUAGAUGCUGAAAAGAGAAUAUGAGGAAGAAGAGGAGAGGAAGGAAUCAGGAUUAAAUGUUAAAAACUAAAAAUUAUCAAGAUGAUUACUCAUCUUAGAACUACAUAAAGACUUUUAAGACAUGGCUAGCUGAAGGUCGGCUGUAAAAGCAUGCGACAGUUGAAGCAAACUUCACUAUGCCCUUUCUAAAAUAAUACCAUGAGUGGUUUUUUUAGUUUUUUUGCGAUUUUGUAAAUUCAAGUCAAGGUUUGAACACAGUACUAGUUGUUUGAAAUAGCAAAAGCCUAUUUCUGAAUUUCUCCCAAAGUACACAGAUUCUGGAGCCCAAACUAAACAGCUAAGAAGUAGAAAUAUUGUGGUAGCCAACUAUGUAGGAAUCCAGGGGAGGGGGCGAUUUAUGUCUCAUAAGAGCAAAAUGUUUAGGUUUACUAGGGUCGAGAACUAUACCUUUUUAAGUAUUCGUUGUUGCUGUUAUAGACUACUAUGAAACAAAUUAAAAAGGAUUGAGAUUUUA
Molecule: unclassified non-coding RNA, 2029 nt
Organism: Stylophora pistillata
Lineage: Eukaryota; Metazoa; Cnidaria; Anthozoa; Scleractinia; Pocilloporidae
Source: RefSeq, a predicted model, not a curated record